This 253-nucleotide ribosomal RNA is filed under the name uncultured bacterium. RNAcentral's name for it is "partial 16S ribosomal RNA". It matches the Rfam family "Bacterial small subunit ribosomal RNA", at positions 524 to 776 of the family's 1533-position model. The record is from RNAcentral.
UACGAAGGGGGCUAGCGUUGUUCGGAAUUACUGGGCGUAAAGCGCGCGCAGGCGGUCCUUCAAGUCAGAGGUGAAAGCCCAGAGCUCAACUCUGGAACGGCCUUUGAGACUAGAGGACUUGGGUACGGGAGAGGUGAGUGGAAUUCCGAGUGUAGAGGUGAAAUUCGUAGAUAUUGGGAAGAACACCGGUGGCGAAGGCGGCUCACUGGCUCAUUACUGACGCUCAUGCGCGACAGCGUGGGGAUCAAACAGG